RNAcentral lists this ribosomal RNA (174 nucleotides) under Trachycephalus mambaiensis. RNAcentral's name for it is "partial 16S ribosomal RNA". The record is from RNAcentral. Lineage: Eukaryota; Metazoa; Chordata; Amphibia; Anura; Hylidae.
ACGUGAUCUGAGUUCAGACCGGAGUAAUCCAGGUCAGUUUCUAUCUAUAACGGGGCUCUUUCCAGUACGAAAGGACCGAAAAAGCAUGGCCAAUACCUUCUGCACGCCAUAAUUAACAACUUAUGAUUAAACCUUAAUAAAUAAUUAAUCCACCAACCAGCUCUAAAAAAGAGC